UACGUAGGGGGCAAGCGCUGUCCGGAUUUAUUGGGCGUAAAGCGUCCGCAGGCGGUCAACCAAGUUCGUGGUGACAGUCUCCAGCUCAACUGGAGAAGGCCCAUGAAGACUGGUUGACUUGAGGGCUUCAGAGGGACAUGGAAUUCCGGGUGGAGUGGUGAAAUGCGUAGAUAUCAGGAGGAAUACCGAUGGCGAAGGCAGGUCUCUGGGCUGA
RNAcentral lists this ribosomal RNA (214 nucleotides) under uncultured prokaryote. RNAcentral's name for it is "partial 16S ribosomal RNA". It matches the Rfam family "Bacterial small subunit ribosomal RNA", at positions 524 to 737 of the family's 1533-position model. The record is from RNAcentral.